CUCACACCUCCCAAUUGCUCAAUACACCCUUGUGAGACUCUCUUCUUUUGGCUUAAAGCAUUUUCCUAGCUACACCCCCAAAUUUUAGCCAAUUUUUAUCUUUUGUAUAUAUUUUUCAUUUAUUAUUUUCUUAUUAUUGUUUUAUUUAUUUAUUUUUGUUCUUUCUUUUAUUUUCUUUAUUUUUUUUAAUUCUUUUACCUCUUGGAUUGAUA
RNAcentral lists this long non-coding RNA (212 nucleotides) under Lathyrus oleraceus (garden pea). Its description in RNAcentral is "Pisum sativum (pea) long non-coding RNA (PSAT_LNC018347)". The record is from RNAcentral. Lineage: Eukaryota; Viridiplantae; Streptophyta; Magnoliopsida; Fabales; Fabaceae.